CGGGCGGAAGAAGCAACCGGACCAGCUUCAGACAGCAGAGGGAUGGGCUAAGUUCACUGGAGGGUUCUUCUUCGGAGGGAUCUCAGGUGUGACUUGGGCUUACUUCCUUCUCUACGUUCUUGACCUUCCUUAUUACGUCAAAUGAAAGUAGUAAAAAUAUGAGUUUCACCAAUAUUCUGGACCUUCAAAUACUCUCUUGCAUCAUUGUUUUUUUUUACUCUUGUCUUCAUCAAGAAUCUUGAAUUUCAUGAUGCUUAAUGUAUACUACUAUGAAUAUUUUCUUAGCUUUUCUUCGUGUUUGUUG
RNAcentral lists this long non-coding RNA (304 nucleotides) under Brassica napus (rape). Its description in RNAcentral is "long non-coding RNA (BNAP_LNC012600)". The record is from RNAcentral. Lineage: Eukaryota; Viridiplantae; Streptophyta; Magnoliopsida; Brassicales; Brassicaceae.